RNAcentral lists this transfer RNA (72 nucleotides) under Stegodyphus mimosarum. It matches the Rfam family "tRNA". From Rfam's summary of the family: Transfer RNA (tRNA) molecules are approximately 80 nucleotides in length. Lineage: Eukaryota; Metazoa; Arthropoda; Arachnida; Araneae; Eresidae. The record is from Rfam by way of RNAcentral.
GCUUUCGUGGUGUAGUGGUCAACACGUUCGACGCGUAACAAUAGGUCCGUGGUUCGAUUCCCGGCGAAGGCG